This 497-nucleotide ribosomal RNA is filed under the name uncultured bacterium. RNAcentral describes it as "partial 16S ribosomal RNA". It matches the Rfam family "Bacterial small subunit ribosomal RNA", at positions 28 to 507 of the family's 1533-position model. The record is from RNAcentral.
GAUGAGCGCUGGCGGCGUGCCUAAUACAUGCAAGUCGAGCGAACAGAUAAGGAGCUUGCUCCUUUGACGUUAGCGGCGGACGGGUGAGUAACACGUGGAUAACCUACCUAUAAGACUGGGAUAACUUCGGGAAACCGGAGCUAAUACCGGAUAACAUAUUGAACCGCAUGGUUCAAUAGUGAAAGGCGGCUUUGCUGUCACUUAUAGAUGGAUCCGCGCCGUAUUAGCUAGUUGGUAAGGUAACGGCUUACCAAGGCAACGAUACGUAGCCGACCUGAGAGGGUGAUCGGCCACACUGGAACUGAGACACGGUCCAGACUCCUACGGGAGGCAGCAGUAGGGAAUCUUCCGCAAUGGGCGAAAGCCUGACGGAGCAACGCCGCGUGAGUGAUGAAGGUCUUCGGAUCGUAAAACUCUGUUAUCAGGGAAGAACAAAUGUGUAAGUAACUGUGCACAUCUUGACGGUACCUGAUCAGAAAGCCACGGCUAACUACGUG